This 2193-nucleotide long non-coding RNA is filed under the name Cairina moschata (Muscovy duck). RNAcentral's name for it is "domestica (muscovy Duck (domestic type)) lncRNA (ENSCMMG00000016641.1)". The record is from RNAcentral. Lineage: Eukaryota; Metazoa; Chordata; Aves; Anseriformes; Anatidae.
AUGCUGUGCUUUGCUUCCACAGGUGUUUUGGCAAUGAACAGAAAAAAACCAGCCCAAACCUUCUCUACAAAAGUUUUGGAGUUGAGUGUUUUUCCUUGCUGCUGGACAGAUCAAGUUAUAUUAGGCUGCAAAUGGAAGGCCAGGAGUUCCCAGCCCUGCAGAUCAUUCCUCCGGGUGAGCCCCCUUCCAUGGGUCUGUUUCUCAGCCACGGUGAGUGUGGACCUGCUCUCCCAGCCCCCCUUGCUGAUUUUGAGCUUUAGGACUUAAUCUGUAGCCUGCUGAAGGCAGAAGAGCUUUUCCCAGCGUGCUUAAUGCACCCAGCUUGGAAGCACUGCCUUCCUCCUGCACUCAAUACCUGUCGCUGCUACGUGCUUGGUUGUGCAGAGGUACAGCUCAUUUUAUUCCCAUUGCAGCAGUCCUCCCCUCAGCAGCACCCCCAGCAUCAGCACUGCCUGUUAACUGCCUUUUUUUUUCUUUUUUUUUUUUUUUUUCUCCAUCUGAGGCUUUUCAGAGCCUGAAUUUCUUUAGCCAGCAGCAUGCUCAGAUGUGGGCAGUCAUCGGGAUUAGCUGGGGCAGUGGUCCUGGUUGAGGGGACGGGUUUUCUGCGGGAUAAAUCACCCCUGCCACAUCGCUCGGGCUGCCCAGCCGAGGUUACUGUUGCUUAGCUACAAGUCUCUAUAAAAACAGCCCAAGCCACAGCAGAGCAGGCACUGAAGCGCUUCAAAUAUGACAAGACCCAAAGGAUGCUCAUCAGAGGACGCACAGGAACAUUACAAGUCCCAUAUGCUGAGGUUUUAGUGCCCGUGACUGCUAGCUUCUAGCUUACACGGUGCUGAUUACAGGGGAGUGUGCUGCCACCAGCUCUGCUUUCACUGUAGCUGGGGUGUCUGCAGGCUGUGGCUGGGUUUGGGGGGGGGGAAUUACAGAAUAAAAGUCCUUGAAAGGGGGAAAUGAGAUGAGAGAAGGACUCCUUGGGGGCUUCUGCAAGGAAAAGCCCUAAUGAUCUCUGCAGUUGGCUUCUGGUACCUAUUGCAGUGCUAUGGAAAUGUCAGUAGCUGCUUACUCCUCUGACAGGGAUACAAAAUUUUUUGGGGGAAAGGAUAAGAACUGCUGAAGAGAACAACCUGCUGUAGCCUGUCUGUGUUUCUGGAAUUGUCUUGGCUUACACGGUCAGCUCUGUCACUGCUUUCCAGAAAUCAGUUCAAACCUAGUCGGAAAAAUAGCGAGAUGUACAGCCUUUGGCUUGACCAGGCACCUCCCCACCCCUCCUAUAAAUUCUUUUAUGAAUCAUUAAUUAGUGGAAGCAGGUUCCCAUGGCUCAAAAGCAGAGCAGUGAAAAAGCAGAGGUCUCUAGGAUGAAAAGUGAAGUUUCUUUUUAAGAUGUCUUUUAAAUUUAGCAGACUUGGAGGAAAAUUUGCCCUGCCACCCCCCAUUUACUUUGCUGCUGACGUACAACUCCCAGUAGGAAGACUGAUUCCCAGUUAAACCCCGGUUACUGGAGCCAGGCUACAUCACGUGCUGGCAACGCGAGCUGCAGAGCUGCCCUUACGUGUUGUGUGCGUAUUGAUCUGUCUGUCUGCAGCGCUGACGCCCUUCAGCUUCUCCCUGCCAGUUUGCUUUGGUUAGUAGAGCUCUGAGACAGAAUACCAUGGCUGCGUUCUUGCAGCGUCACGAAAACGAGUGCCUGUGAGUGCCCUGGAUAUGUUCCUGGGUCCCAGAGGGGCUGCACGCGAAAGACAGGAGCGCUGUGCUUUGAACUCUAAUUAACAGUCUGGAGGUGAGCUCUCAGCCUGACAGCCAAAUUUAAUCACAGUUAUCUGUACGCAGGAGAAGGCUGCUCUGAACCUCCACGAGGAUCUGCUAGGGCUGUGAACACGAGGACUUGAGCGAUAAUCAAGAUUUUUGGAAGGGAUGUAAUUUGUCAUUUUCCAGGGCAUAAGCCAGCCUCUCAGCAGGAAAGGGCUGUGUGAAACUUGCACCGCUGAGAAUAUUUUAGGCAUGAUGGCAUUACGCACAGUUCUCACAUGCCUGUCUGUAGUGCCAGGGAACGUGCACCAAAAGAGUGCUGACUACUUCUAUCUUGAGCUUGCCCCUUAUUUUCCAAGCUUGAUCUUGUCCCUGUGGACAGCAGGACCUCCUGUUACAUUGCAGAAGCACUUGCUGACUUCUGCCAUAGUCUGCUCUCCAGGUGGC